GGUGGGUUGAACCUGGUUUUGUGGCAUGCCAAACCUCGCAAUUUGAUGGCAUUGUUAAAUAUAACAUUAAAAUGACAACAUAAUAAUACAGGACUACAAUACAAAUACAUAGCAGAACGUAUUACACAUGAAUAAUAGAUAACAAAAGGCAUCAGGUUUAAAAUUCAUUACGUCAAAAACGCGCCUCGUCCAAACAAGACUUACCAGUGACGCCCAGAUAUAAAAGUUCGAAAGUCAAAAAAAGGGGGACAAAGUUGUACAGCUCUGAGGAUCAAAAGUUGAAAAAGGUUGUGCCAAAUACG
RNAcentral lists this long non-coding RNA (302 nucleotides) under Mytilus galloprovincialis (Mediterranean mussel). The record is from RNAcentral. Lineage: Eukaryota; Metazoa; Mollusca; Bivalvia; Mytilida; Mytilidae.